UAUAUAUAUAUAUAUAUAUAUGGAUAUAUAUGGAUAUUAGUAUGCUUGUGCUGUAGUUUGCUGAUUAUAAAGCCUAUGCCUUUCAAUGGGUUCUUUCUCCUCCACUUAAGUUACCAUGCAUUUCUGUUGAGCUGCGGUGAGAAUUAUGAAAAAGGUUGAGCAAAUGUGCAUACAAACAAGCCACAGGGAUUCUAGUAGACUGAGCAAGAGGGAGCGUUGAAGAUAGGGAGUGUUAGAGAUGGGAGGAGAGAGGGAACACUAUGCAGGAACAUAACCCAUCACUCCAGAUGUAAUUGCUCUCUACUUUCAGAGAGGAUAUCAACGUUUUUUGGUCGCAUACACAGUUUAAUAGGUGGUAUAUAGCGGUGCAGCGAAAUGGUUAUGUUACUAACAAUGCAGUAUCCAGACCUCUACUUCAGACAUUUACUCCCAGAAUGAGAGAGGUUGUCUUGUCUGAGGAAAGGUGAAGAAAUGCUUAUUUGUGUACCAUUUCCCUAUACGACAAGUGGGCCGAUAGAGGAGUGAGAGAGACGGACUACAUACACAAUGAUGACGGGUCAAAUCUCAUGCCAAAACAAUCACACUAUAAAACUAUUGUACAUGUCGCUACAUGGCUUACAUUGAGUCUCUCCUCCUGACCCAUUCUGUCCUUCCAUCUCAUGUUCUAUCUCUUUACUCUUUAAAACCUCUGUUUAGUGAUCAUUUGUAUAUUUCACCAUCAAUACAGAAUAUGCGCACUUUUACAUCUUAGUGGACCUUAAAUGAUGGCUCAUCUUUCUUUUUGGUGAGGACAUUUGUAAAGACAAGGUCAGGCUUCUGCUCGAGUCCAUCCAGGGAGUGGCCUGUUCUGUUGCGUGAUUUUAUGACGCUUUCUUUUGUUUGAAAAGGUCAUUUAUGAAAAUCCAUGUUUUUGUAGUGGAAUUAUUAUACUAUAAAGGCAUUCCCUCCACUCUGUCGAAUGCCUUCUGUGGGCACAGUGUGUGGAUGCGUGCACACGCAUGUGAGAUGUGUAUUGAUUUCCUUCAGAUGAUUUCCUGUUAUUUGACCAUUUUGAGUCUUAUGAUGAUCAGAAGUAAGACUAUUGUUGUUAUGAUUACAUUAUUAACAUUAUGAUUAUUAAGUGCUGGAUGCAUUAUUGUGCAUUUUAUUUUUGAUGUUUUAUAUGUUGUAUAAGGAAAUCUUUUACAUUUGGCCUUGUUGUGGACAGCGAGCCAUGUGGCUUUUCUGAUUAGUUAUAUCAGCCAGUUCUCUGCUUUUCUGAUUAGUUAUAUCAGCCAGUUCUCUGCUUUUCUGAUUAGUUAUAUCAGCCAGUUCUCUGCUUUUCUGAUUAGUUAUAUCAGCCAUUCUCUGCUUUUCUGAUUAGUUAUAUCAGCCAGUUCUCUGCUUUUCUGAUUAGUUAUAUCAGCCAUUCUCUGCUUUUCUGAUUAGUUAUAUCAGCCAGUUCUCUGCUUUUCUGAUUAGUUAUAUCAGCCAGUUCUCUGCUUUUCUGAUUAGUUAUAUCAGCCAUUCUCUGCUUUUCUGAUUAGUUAUAUCAGCCAGUUCUCUGCUUUUCUGAUUAGUUAUAUCAGCCAGUUCUCUGCUUUUCUGAUUAGUUAUAUCAGCCAGUUCUCUGCUUUUCUGAUUAGUUAUAUCAGCCAGUUCUCUGCUUUUCUGAUUAGUUAUAUCAGCCAGUUCUCUGCUUUUCUGAUUAGUUAUAUCAGCCAUUCUCUGCUUUUCUGAUUAGUUAUAUCAGCCAGUUCUCUGCUUUUCUGAUUAGUUAUAUCAGCCAGUUCUCUGCUUUUCUGAUUAGUUAUAUCGUGAAAGUUCUCUGGUUUUCUGUUGUAUUUGGUUUUUACAGAGAAAGACAAAUUAGAGGAAGUUAUUCUAAGUUAGCUAUGGAUCAGAACUUACUGUGUGUACGCUAUGGCACAUGCGUCUAUAUUACUGACAUACACUAAUUCAUUAACGUCAUACCAAAAACAAUCUAAGACAUUGUAUCAAGUGCUUUUGUUUCAACCGUGCGUGUGCAGGUGCAAAUAUUUUCAAUUCAUUGUGGUCUAAUAAUUUUGCUUGGAUGUAGUUAUUUAGUUUAUUUUUCAGUUUGUAUACAUACGGAAUACUUGUAUAUGAAGAGUCUUGUGACCUGCUAGUCUAGACCUGCUGGAGAUCGCAUCUUUAAUCCCUCUUUUCUUUAUUGGUCUUGUUGCCAUGGUUUCCAAAGGUCUACUGUAUAUCCUAAACAUAAGCCCAAUCCCAAAUCUACCCCUGGCCCCAACCCCUAUAUACUUUUUGUAGGUCUGAAAUGAUCGGACUGGUGUAAAUAUUAUAUAUUUCAACUUGGCCUAUCAAAGGGCAAGGUCCCCUUCCAGACCUACAAGACAUGUUUUGGAGUGCCUGGAUGCUACAAGGUACAGGAACAGAGUGAGCCACAAUGUUGGCUCUGGGAAUUGGAGUUGGUUUGCCAGAGGUGGUUGCAAACAUACCAUCUGCCACACUUCAUUUUUUCCAUCUGUCCCAAUGCUAAACACCGUAUCCAACGAACACCCCUCUGAUGUCCGUUUGAUUACACUGGUUGGAAAUGCCUUCUCCAUGUGUGGUGACGAGCUUUAAUCAAGUUGCAUUAUUUUAAUUUGACCCAUCCAUCAGAAAUCUCUAAUCUGUUGAAGUUUUCAGAAAGGAAACAAAUGACGUUGGGUGGAUAUGUUGAAUGUUAAUGGCUGAAUAUAAUGGGAUUGUCCAGAUUGUCCAGAAGUGCAGUGUGUUUGGAAGUAGUGCAGUAUCAGUGAUAUUUCUCUGUCAUCCACCCAGUGUUUUUCCAGUCCAGACUCCUGUGAACUUCUCUUCUCAUCAUCACCUGCCUGUGUCUUCUUCUUCCUUGUCUUGGGUUGUAAUUCAGGAAAUAUUUGCCAUCCAAUCCCCUCAACAAUGUGCCUCGAUCUGUUUUACCGGUGUGUGCGUGGGUGUGCCUGCAUGGGUGUGUGCAUGGGUGUGUGUGUGGGUGUGCCUGCAUGGGUGUGUGUGUGUGUUUCAAGAGAAACGGAAAUCAUAUAUUUUAUCUCAAUCACAGGUGCAAAAAGUUGAGACAAAAAAAUGCAGCUAUAUGUUUCUGUUUCUGAGUUCAUUAAUCCUUUGUGGUUUUAUGGUCUUAACUGCACGUCUCUCAUUUGUCAUACCAAAGUCUCUAACAUCCGCACACAGCUGGCUCAUUUCACACCAGGAACAACUAGAGCUGUUUGCUUUCAGAAGAUGAAUAUGGCAAAUCCUUUCUUAGAUGUGUACAAAAUUCAAAUCCUGAUUUAGCCUGUAUAGCUUGAUUCAUAUGUGCAAAUCACAAAGCCAUAGACAUGGUGAUAUGAAGAGUAUACUAUAUUUCAAAAUUCUUAUUUUUUAUUUUAAGACUAUGUUCUUUACUAAGAGUGAUGUGUUCAUAUAUAUAUAUAUAAAUUGAUAUUACUAUUAUAUAUUAUUUAUUUUCUCUCAUGUUUCGCAAGGUGUCUUUCAUUUGUAAAGUGAGAUGCUUGAAACUUUACUGUUCUUUGUUGGGAAUUUUGUUCAAUAUGAUACUGACUUUAUAUUGAUUAUCAUAAACCUGUGUUUGUAACGAAGAUGUGUUAAAUAAUCAAACCCCUUGAUCUGUUUGGGAGGAUUAAAGUGGGAAGAUUUUCUGUAUAGUGCUGAUCGCUUGAUUGUUUUUAUAGCCAAACAUGAACUUCCCUACCGUCCUGUUGUGAGGGAUAGCCUAAAGGGCUAACCCCAGGCCUCGUUCUAACUUAAUGUUUAGUGGAAAUUAGCUUGACUAUUAUUUGCAAAACAAAUCAGUCUCAAUAAAUUUGGAAAUUGCUGCUGA
This is a long non-coding RNA of Oncorhynchus keta (chum salmon), 3826 nucleotides long. RefSeq lists it as uncharacterized. The transcript is spliced from 4 exons. Lineage: Eukaryota; Metazoa; Chordata; Actinopteri; Salmoniformes; Salmonidae. The record is from RefSeq and is a predicted model, not a curated record.